AGACCAUGAUGUGGGCAUUUCCUAAUAGCUCCUUGAAUCUUUCCCAUGUCUCGUACAAGAAUUCCCCGUCUUCUUUAGAGUAGGUGUUAAUCUUGGUCAUGAGUUU
RNAcentral lists this small nucleolar RNA (106 nucleotides) under Helianthus annuus (common sunflower). RNAcentral's name for it is "sRNA HanXRQr2_Chr08g0355861". It matches the Rfam family "Plant small nucleolar RNA R71". Rfam says of the family: R71 is a member of the C/D box family of snoRNAs containing the C (UGAUGA) and D (CUGA) box motifs. Multiple nearly identical copies of this snoRNA have been identified in Arabidopsis, and it is thought to function as a 2'-O-ribose methylation guide for 18S ribosomal RNA. Lineage: Eukaryota; Viridiplantae; Streptophyta; Magnoliopsida; Asterales; Asteraceae. The record is from Rfam by way of RNAcentral.